UAUAUUUAUAUUUCUAUCGUAUCAAAAUCUUUUUAUUUUCCUUGAUGCUUACAUCCUGCCAGUGUGAUUUAAAAUAUUUUGCUUAUUGCCCACAUGUUGGUAGAUUUUUCUUUCUUUUUUUUUUUUUUUUUUUUUUCCGAGACAGGGUUUCUCUGUGUAGCCCUGGCUGUCCUUGAACUCACAAAUGCACCUGCCUCUACUUCCCAAGUGCUGGGAUUAAAGGCGUGUGCCAACAUACCCGGCCAAUAGAUUUUUCUUAAUUCCACUAUGGCCAUCGGGGCAUUGUUUGGUUUCACUUUUUUUUUUUUUUUUAAACAUUUUUUUUAAAGAUUUAUUUAUUUAUUAUAUGUAAGUACACUGUAGCUGUCUUCAGACACUCCAGAAGAGGGUCUCAGGUCUCAUUACAGAUGGUUGUGAGCCACCAUGUGGUUGCUGGGAUUUGAACUCUGGACCUUCGUAAGAACAGUCGGGUGCUCUUACCCACUGAGCCAUCUCACCAGCCCCUUGGUUUCACUUUUAUGUUGAUAUCCAUUUAUAUUUUCAGGUGUGGAUAUGUGUGCUCACACGUGUAUGUGUAGGUUCCUGUGCACGUGUGUGAGUUCACAUGUGUGCUUGAAUGGGUGGAGCCCAGCCUGCACCUUCUAUACUGAGGUCUCCCACUUGAACCCAGAGCAUACUGAUUCAACUGCUCUAGCAGGGCAGCUAGCUCUAGGGACCCUGUGUGCGUAUCUUAUAUUUAAUAGUCAUCGUGUAUUUGUGUUUACCUGCUCCUGACUAAAAGUUCGCUUCUAUUGUCUUUUUUCCUUUUGAUUCGUUUCUUAGUAUACCUAGGAGUAGCAUUUUACCGCCAGUACUCUUUAUUGUAGGUUACGAAAUCUUGUAAUUUUUAAAAAUGAAGUAUACUGCACUGACGUAUGACUCAGUGAAUUCUGAGUUCUGCUCAUAGGCACCUAACCUUGAAACAAAUAAUGAUCUAAGGUAUUUAAGCAAACUUCCUCUUUUUUUUUUUUUGCAUUGGCAGCACAAUUCCAGUUUGGUCUGAGUCAAGGGAAACAAAGUCUAAGGAACCCUCUGAGACUGCUGAGGGUGACAGUGGGAAGCUGUGCCUACUGCCUGUGCCAGCCCAAAGUACUGACAGCCCCAUUGAAUUAAAAAAAAAAAAAAGAUUUAUUGGGCUGGAAAGGUGGCUCAGAGGUUAAGAGCACUGCUCUACCAGAGGUCCUGAGUUCAAUUCCCAGCAACCACAUGGGGUGACUCACAACCAUCUGUAAUGGGAUCUGAUAUCCUCUUCUGGCCUGCAGUCAGAUAAUGCAAGCAGAACACUAUAUACAUAAUAAAUAAAUAAAUCUUAAAAACAAACAAAACAAAAAAGAAGAGCAGUCAGUGCUCUCAACCCUGGGCCAUCUCUCCAGCUCAGGCAAACUCCUUUUAACCCAGUAUCUGGUGAGCUAAAUCAGUAGGGGUUGAGGGCUUCAGCUAGCCUGGGCUAUAGGAUGAGACCAUGCCCCCAAAAUAAGUAAGUAAAUUUAUAUAAUGAGACCCUGCCCCCAAAUAAGUAAAAAUACAUAUGUAAAUAAAUAAAUUUAUAUUUUAAGACCCUGUCCCCAAAAUAAAUAAAUGAAUAAAUUUAUAUAAUGAAACUCUGCCUCCAAAAUAAGUAAAUAGGAAGGAAGGAAGGAAGGAAGGAAGGAAGGAAGAAAGG
RNAcentral lists this long non-coding RNA (1702 nucleotides) under Mus musculus (house mouse). RNAcentral describes it as "long non-coding RNA chr2:129082742-129084444". Lineage: Eukaryota; Metazoa; Chordata; Mammalia; Rodentia; Muridae. The record is from RNAcentral.